UAGGGAAUCUUCCGCAAUGGACGAAAGUCUGACGGAGCAACGCUGCGUGAGUGAAGAAGGUUUUCGGAUCGUAAAACUCUGUUGUUAAAGAAGAACAAGGAUGAGAGUAACUGCUCAUCCCCUGACGGUAUUUAACCAGAAAGCCACGGCUAACUACGUGCCAGCAGCCGCGGUAAUACGUAGGUGGCAAGCGUUGUCCGGAUUUAUUGGGCGUAAAGCGAGCGCAGGCGGUUCUUUAAGUCUGAUGUGAAAGCCCCCGGCUCAACCGGGGAGGGUCAUUGGAAACUGGAGAACUUGAGUGCAGAAGAGGAGAGUGGAAUUCCACGUGUAGCGGUGAAAUGCGUAGAUAUGUGGAGGAACACCAGUGGCGAAGGCGACUCUCUGGCCUGUAACUGACGCUGAGGCUCGAAAGCGUGGGGAGCAAACAGGAUUAGAUACCCUGGUAGUCCACGCCGUAAACGAUGAGUGCUAAGUGUUGGAGGGUUUCCGCCCUUCAGUGCUGCAGCUAACGCAUUAAGCACUCCGCCUGGGGAGUACGGCCGCAAGGCUGAAACUCAAAGGAAUUGACGGGGUCAUAGCUGUUUCCUG
This 588-nucleotide ribosomal RNA is filed under the name uncultured bacterium. RNAcentral's name for it is "partial 16S ribosomal RNA". It matches the Rfam family "Bacterial small subunit ribosomal RNA", at positions 355 to 1376 of the family's 1533-position model. The record is from RNAcentral.